GACGAACGCUGGCGGUGUGCUUAACACAUGCAAGUCGAACGGUAAGGCCCUUUCGGGGGUACACGAGUGGCGAACGGGUGAGUAACACGUGAGUAACCUGCCCUCAUCUCUGGGAUAACAGUCGGAAACGGUUGCUAAUACUGGAUAUGAGCUUGCAAGGCAUCUUGUGGGUUGGAAAGAUUUUUUUGGUUGGGGAUGGACUCGCGGCCUAUCAGCUUGUUGGUGAGGUAGUGGCUCACCAAGGCUUCGACGGGUAGCCGGCCUGAGAGGGCGACCGGCCACAUUGGGACUGAGAUACGGCCCAAACUCCUACGGGAGGCAGCAGUGGGGAAUAUUGCACAAUGAACGGAAGUCUGAUGCAGCAACGCCGCGUGCGGGAUGACGGCCUUCGGGUUGUAAACCGCUUUCAAUUGUGACGAAGCUUUUUGUGACGGUAGCAGUAGAAGAAGCACCGGCUAACUACGUG
This 466-nucleotide ribosomal RNA is filed under the name uncultured bacterium. Its description in RNAcentral is "partial 16S ribosomal RNA". It matches the Rfam family "Bacterial small subunit ribosomal RNA", at positions 28 to 507 of the family's 1533-position model. The record is from RNAcentral.